UCACAGCUUGCGCCGGCAGUCUCGACAGAGUCCUCGACUCUACUCGUUAGCAACUGUCGAUAGGGGUUGCGCUCGUUAUGGCACUUAAGCCGACACCUCACGGCACGAGCUGACGACAACCAUGCAGCACCUCGCAUAAUGCCCCGAAGGGAAACAAUCUUUCAACUGUCGUCAUUAUGCGUUUGAGCCCGGGUAAGGUUCCUCGCGUAUCAUCGAAUUAAACCACAUGUUCCUCCGCUUGUGCGGGCCCCCGUCAAUUCCUUUGAGUUUCACCGUUGCCGGCGUACUCCCCAGGUGGAAUGCUUAACGCUUUCGCUGUCCCGCUCAGCCAUCAAUCUGGCCAAACAGGUAGCAUUCAUCGUUUACUGCGUGGACUAC
Molecule: unclassified non-coding RNA, 378 nt
Filed under: uncultured Muribaculaceae bacterium
Lineage: Bacteria; Pseudomonadati; Bacteroidota; Bacteroidia; Bacteroidales; Muribaculaceae
Description: contains 16S-23S intergenic spacer region
Source: RNAcentral